This is an unclassified non-coding RNA of Cercocebus atys (sooty mangabey), 100 nucleotides long. It matches the Rfam family "Y RNA". From Rfam's summary of the family: Y RNAs are components of the Ro ribonucleoprotein particle (Ro RNP), in association with Ro60 and La proteins. The record is from Ensembl. Lineage: Eukaryota; Metazoa; Chordata; Mammalia; Primates; Cercopithecidae.
GGCUAGUCUGAGUGCAGUGGUGUUUACAAUUAAUUGAUCACACAGUUAUAGAUUUAUUUAUUCCUUGUCCAUUCCCAUUGCUUCACUUGACAGGCCUAAA